UGGUGUAGAGACACUAGAGUGGGAGUGUAGGUGGUUGUUUGGAAAUAACUUGCACUGAGUGUGACUAACACGAGAAACCACUUGGAUGUCUACUCACUCGUCAGUGGUUAUCUCGAUGCUGCGGUGGUAUAAGUGGUCCUUUGACCUAUGAUGUCAUCAGCUAUUUGCAGCGAGGCUACUGGGUUUGACUGCAUAUUCUCUUGGUUCCUAGUCAUUCGGGCUUUUGUUGUGUGUGUUGGUU
Molecule: long non-coding RNA, 241 nt
Filed under: Elaeis guineensis (African oil palm)
Lineage: Eukaryota; Viridiplantae; Streptophyta; Magnoliopsida; Arecales; Arecaceae
Description: long non-coding RNA (EGUI_LNC040067)
Source: RNAcentral